UUUAUUGGAGAGUUUGAUCCUGGCUCAGGACGAACGCUGGCGGCGUGCCUAAUACAUGCAAGUCGAGCGGACCUUUCAAGAGCUUGCUCUCGAAAGGUUAGCGGCGGACGGGUGAGUAACACGUGGGCAACCUGCCCUGUAGACUGGGAUAACUUCGGGAAACCGGAGCUAAUACCAGAUAAUCAAUAACACCACAUGGUGUUAUUGUAAAAGUUGGGAAUUCUAACACUAUGGGAUGGGCCCGCGGCGCAUUAGUUAGUUGGUGAGGUAACGGCUCACCAAGGCGACGAUGCGUAGCCGACCUGAGAGGGUGAUCGGCCACACUGGGACUGAGACACGGCCCAGACUCCUACGGGAGGCAGCAGUAGGGAAUCUUCCGCAAUGGACGAAAGUCUGACGGAGCAACGCCGCGUGAGUGAUGAAGGCCUUCGGGUCGUAAAGCUCUGCUG
Molecule: ribosomal RNA, 449 nt
Filed under: Alkalihalophilus pseudofirmus
Lineage: Bacteria; Bacillati; Bacillota; Bacilli; Caryophanales; Bacillaceae
Description: bacterial SSU rRNA
Rfam family: Bacterial small subunit ribosomal RNA
Source: RNAcentral